This is a long non-coding RNA of Alligator sinensis (Chinese alligator), 193 nucleotides long. RefSeq lists it as uncharacterized. The record is from RefSeq and is a predicted model, not a curated record. Lineage: Eukaryota; Metazoa; Chordata; Crocodylia; Alligatoridae. The transcript is spliced from 2 exons.
GCCGCAGGACCCCCCCGUAGAGCUGCCGCCUGAGCUGCGCUACAUGGAGCUCCUGAGCUGCGCGGAGUCUGUCUACGAGCAGAUCCAGCGCUGACGUCACGGCCUGGGGAACCCCACAAGAGAUCUGCCCCCCCAGGAGAUGCCCCCAGAGCCCCUGGACACUCGGGAUUAAAGAGCUCCUCCCUGCACCCUG